RNAcentral lists this long non-coding RNA (746 nucleotides) under Marmota monax (woodchuck). Lineage: Eukaryota; Metazoa; Chordata; Mammalia; Rodentia; Sciuridae. The record is from RNAcentral.
CAGCUGAACUCCCAUGGGGAAUGAGGAGAUGAGAAUGCUUAAUUCUUCAUUCAUAAUGGAGAGAGUCAGCAUGUGGAGGAGCGGACGGGUGGGUGAUGACUCAUGUUCCCUGCACAGGGUACAACCCCCGAAUAAGGAGGCUGUUCCUACAGGCAUAUAUGAAAACAAGGCUCAGGAUUGCAGUCACCAGCCGUGGAAGAUCUCUGACUCAUGUGGUUGAUUUCUAAUUCCUUCUGUGGCAGAGCCGUGCCCCGAUUAUGGCCAGUGUGUAAGCUUGAGCAGCUGAGGAGGACAGAUCUGGAGCAAGUUUCCCAAUUCUUUGAGUUUCAGCGUCUUCUGCCAAUUGGGCUCAUUCAGAUUAAGGUAGAAAUGCAUCAUUCAUCACACAGGAUCCUCAAUACUUACCAGGAAUGAUGCUGUGCUUUCCUCAUCUCUCUCAACCCCCUCUGCUUCCCUGGGAAAGAGGUAUUAUCACCAUCUUCAUCUGACAAAUGCAGAAACCAAGCUCAGCAAGAAGGUCACAGAAGACUUCUACUGUACAAUGAGGUUUCUUGAACAUGCAAGCCAUGUGAUCUGCAAACGUUUACACAUCAAUGGGAGAUGAAAAUUGCCCAAACCCCAAAUAGAAAUACAUAUAGAAAAGCUCACCAAGCUGGAACAACUGGACCAUUUCAAAGGAAAUGCAGUUUGAUUAUUUUCAAGUACAUACAGUAACCAGAAAAAUCACUAACAAGUGCUGGUGGUUC